CAAGAAUCAGCUUUAUAGCAGAAAGAGGAAUGUAAACUUGUUCGCUGUCCGUGCCUCCUCUGAUGACCCUGAUGAUUGUAACGAUGAAGAAUGCGCCCCUGAUAAAGAGGUUCAUUUUUAUUUUCUCUACCCUUUUCUCUAAAUUUACUGUUCUUGUUAUUUCCUUAGAAAAAUUAGAAACUUAAAACUUUGUGUUGCUUAGCUUAGGUGCUACUAGUGCCACUGUUUAUUAAAAAUCGACUCAAAGGACAGUGGCAGCCCAUUGUUUGACAAAAUGGUCUGGGAGACCCUCUUGUUUUCAUAAAUGGUCACAGAGAUCCACUACUUCGCCAAAGCAUGGGGGUGUAGCGGUCCUUUUCCCUUUCAUUUUACAUUUUACAGAAAUUUCCAUUAAAUGGUGGUUGUAUUUGUAUUUGUUUUUGCAGGUGGGAAAAGUGAGCAUGGAAUGGUUAGCUGGGGAAAAGACUAAAGUUGCGGGUACAUUUCCACCUCGGAAAAGGGAGUGGACAGGUUAUGUUGAGAAGGAUACUGCUGGCCAGACUAACAUUUAUGCUGUCGAGGUUCGUUAUCUUAUCUAUUAUUGAUUGCAUAUGAAGCUACUUGCCUUGCAUUAGGAUGAGGAUAUAAAUGUGUUUGCAGGACCUGUUUAGUGAUAAGGAAGAAUCCCCUGCCUCUUAUACUUAUUCACUUAAAUAAUAAUCAACUUGUGUGUAAUUUUACUAAAUUUAGGGUAUGUUUGAAACUAUUGUGCUUCUCGUUAAUUUUGAAACCGAAACAGCUCAAGUAUAUACCUACUUGUGAGAUUCAACAAGUGUGGACUAAAAGCCACAAUAUCUCAUUCCAUACCGUAACCAAGACAUAUUGAGGAUAAAGAUGAAUUUAAAGCCUCCAACUUUAUGACUUGAAGCUUAUGGUAUGUUUACUUGAGGGUUUAGGGAAUGAGAAUGAGAGAAUGAGAAUGAAAGUAUGAAACCCAUGUUUACUUGGCAAAACGUAAUUUGAAAAUGAGAAUAAAAUGUAUGGGUCUCACACAAUUUGGGAAUAAGGAAUGGGAAUCUCAUUCUCAAGGAGGGUUGGGAAUGGGGAUUCCCAUUCCCUCAACUGACUUUUUUAUCCCUCUAAUUUUUUCAUAUUUCCCGAAUUAUUCUCGUUCAAAUCACAAUUAAUUUUAUUAUUUUAAAUGU
Molecule: long non-coding RNA, 1184 nt
Filed under: Citrus sinensis (sweet orange)
Lineage: Eukaryota; Viridiplantae; Streptophyta; Magnoliopsida; Sapindales; Rutaceae
Description: long non-coding RNA (CSIN_LNC005131)
Source: RNAcentral